Molecule: ribosomal RNA, 1041 nt
Filed under: Planctomycetota bacterium
Lineage: Bacteria; Pseudomonadati; Planctomycetota
Description: Bacterial small subunit ribosomal RNA
Rfam family: Bacterial small subunit ribosomal RNA
Source: Rfam by way of RNAcentral
AAACUGAAGAGUUUGAUCCUGGCUCAGAACGAACGCUGGCGGCGUGGCUAAGACAUGCAAGUCGAACGGACUAUCUUGAAGAGUAAUCGGACAGAUAGUUAGUGGCGAACGGGUGAGGAAUGAAUAGGUAACGUACCCCGAACUUCGGAAUAGCGUCUGACUGCUUCGGCAGUCUUCCGAAAGGGGCAGUAAUACCGGAUAAUGUCACGGAACAUAAGUUUUGUGACCAAAGAUUUAUCGGUUUGGGAGCGGCCUAUUUCCUAUCAGCUUGUUGGUGAGGUAACGGCUCACCAAGGCGACGACGGGUAGCGGGACUGAGAGGUUGACCCGCCACAUCGGGACUGAGACACUGCCCGGACCUCCACGGAGGGCUGCAGUAACGAAUAUUGCGCAAUGGGCGAAAGCCUGACGCAGCAACGCCGCGUGUAGGAAGAAGCCCCUCGGGGUGUAAACUACUGUCAGGGGAAAGAAAGUUCCGACUCGUCGGGAUUGAUCUACCCCGGAGGAAGUCACGGCUAACUUCGUGCCAGCAGCCGCGGUAAGACGAAGGUGGCGAGCGUUGUUCGGAAUCACUGGGCUUAAAGAGCGCGUAGGCGGAGUGGUCAGUGUCCUGUGAAAGCCCCCGGCUUAACCGGGGAAUUGCGGGGCAUACUGCCACUCUUGAGGCAAGCAGGGGUGCAUGGAACUCUUGGUGGAGCGGUGGAAUGCGUAGAUAUCAAGAGGAACGCCGAAGGAGAAAUCAGUGCACUGGGCUUGUUAUGGUUCCCGGCUGCGAUUUAUCGUGACUGGGAGCUUUCUGACGCUGAGGCGCGAAAGCGUGGGGAGCGAACGGGAUUAGAUACCCCGGUAGUCCACGCCGUAAACGAUGUCUACUAGGUUGUGGUUGUUCUGACACAGGCACAGCCGAAGCAAAAGUGUUAAGUAGACCGCCUGGGGAGUACGGCCGCAAGGCUAAAACUCAAAGGAAUUGACGGGGGCUCACACAAGCGGUGGAGCAUGUGGAUUAAUUCGAAGCAACGCGCAGAACCUUACCUGGGUUUG